Molecule: ribosomal RNA, 113 nt
Filed under: Hetaerina charca
Lineage: Eukaryota; Metazoa; Arthropoda; Insecta; Odonata; Calopterygidae
Description: partial small subunit ribosomal RNA
Source: RNAcentral
GAGUUUCUUGAUCAUUGGGCUCUAAAAUAUGUACACAUCGCCCGUCGCUCUCAGGGUAAAUUGAGAUAAGUCGUAACAUAGUAGAUGUAUUGGAAAAUGUAUCUAGAAAGUCA